GACGUAGGGCGCGAGCGUUGUCCGGAUUUAUUGGGCGUAAAGAGCUCGUAGGCGGCUUGUCGCGUCGACUGUGAAAACUCGAGGCUCAACCUCGAGCUGUCGGCCGAAACCAUCUGGCUAGAGUCCGGAAGAGGAGAAUGGAAUUCCCGGUGUAGCGGUGAAAUGCGCAGAUAUCGGGAAGAACACCCGUGGCGAAGGCGGUUCUCUGGGACGGUACUGACGCUGAGACGCGAAAGCGUGGGGAGCGAACAGG
This 253-nucleotide ribosomal RNA is filed under the name uncultured bacterium. Its description in RNAcentral is "partial 16S ribosomal RNA". It matches the Rfam family "Bacterial small subunit ribosomal RNA", at positions 524 to 776 of the family's 1533-position model. The record is from RNAcentral.